RNAcentral lists this non-coding RNA (177 nucleotides) under Chryseobacterium sp. Lineage: Bacteria; Pseudomonadati; Bacteroidota; Flavobacteriia; Flavobacteriales; Weeksellaceae. The record is from RNAcentral.
UAUCUUUGCAAAAAUUUUGGUUUUCAAGCUUUUGAAAAUAAUAGGGAAUUGGGUGUAAACCCCAAACUGUCCCCGCAACUGUAGAUCGCAACCAUAAUUUCUAUAAAAAACCACUGUGAAAACGGGAAGGUAUAGAAAAGCGAAAGUCAGGAGACCUGCCAAAAUGAUAAUAUCAAA